RNAcentral lists this ribosomal RNA (253 nucleotides) under uncultured bacterium. Its description in RNAcentral is "partial 16S ribosomal RNA". It matches the Rfam family "Bacterial small subunit ribosomal RNA", at positions 524 to 776 of the family's 1533-position model. The record is from RNAcentral.
UACGUAGGUGACCAGCGUUGUCCGGAUUUACUGGGCGUAAAGAGCGCGCAGGCGGUCGUUCAAGUCGAGUGUGAAAGCCCCCGGCUCAACUGGGGAGGGUCACUCGAUACUGAUCGACUUGAAGGCAGGAGAGGGAAGCGGAAUUCCCGGUGUAGUGGUGAAAUGCGUAGAUAUCGGGAGGAACACCAGUGGCGAAGGCGGCUUCCUGGCCUGUUCUUGACACUGAGGCGCGAAAGCUAGGGGAGCAAACGGG